Microtus ochrogaster (prairie vole) is the source of this 466-nucleotide long non-coding RNA. RefSeq lists it as uncharacterized. The record is from RefSeq and is a predicted model, not a curated record. NCBI's taxonomy places the organism in Eukaryota, Metazoa, Chordata, Mammalia, Rodentia, Cricetidae.
GGGAGGGGCAGGUGAACAUCAGGGGACUGCUGUGGUAUGAGUCUCAGAGGGAAGAAAGCUUAGACGGGGAAGGGGUGCAAAGUGUGGCCAGGGUCUAACCUGCCUCCAUCUUCAGCUCCAGAGACCUGGCCAUAUCAAGAACAAGGGCAAGAAUGACUUCUGAACAGCAGAGAAGUCUCCCUCUCUCCAGCACAUCAAUUGAAGAGGCCAUAAAAUCACAGGAAAGGGAGUUGACAAUCACUGAAACCCUAUGGGACCAGGUACUAACAGCUUUUAAAGGCAUCCAAAAGGAGCUUCAGGAAGAUGCUCGGAUUCGAGGCAUGAGCAACUGUUCUGUGCCAUCUGUGCCACCUGUACCCCCCAGGACAGGGUAAGUGGCCCUCUUCUGAUGGUCUGGAAAAAGGAAUAGCAUCCACCCGGAUAUGGGUAUGGCGACCAGAAAUGUAGUUAGCUAUGAGCCUGCCUU